This 109-nucleotide Y RNA is filed under the name Cebus imitator (Panamanian white-faced capuchin). Its description in RNAcentral is "Y RNA (ENSCCAG00000003860.1)". It matches the Rfam family "Y RNA". From Rfam's summary of the family: Y RNAs are components of the Ro ribonucleoprotein particle (Ro RNP), in association with Ro60 and La proteins. The record is from Rfam by way of RNAcentral. Lineage: Eukaryota; Metazoa; Chordata; Mammalia; Primates; Cebidae.
GGCGGGUCCGAAGGUAGUGAGUUAUCUCAAUUGAUUGUUCACAGUUAUAGAUCGAAUUCCUUGUUCUACUCUUUCCCCCCUUCUCACUACUGGACUUGACUAGUCUGUU